UACGGAGGGAGCUAGCGUUGUUCGGAAUGACUGGGCGUAACGGGCGCGUAGGCGGUUUUAUAAGUCAGAUGUGAAAGCCUUGGGCUUAACCUGAGAAUAGCAUUUGAGACUGUAAGACUAGAGGACGAGAGAGGAAAGUGGAAUUACGAGUGUAGAGGUGAAAUUCGUAGAUAUUCGUAAGAACACCAGUGGCGAAGGCGACUUUCUGGCUCGUAUCUGACGCUAAGGCGCGAAAGCGUGGGGAGCAAACAGG
This 253-nucleotide ribosomal RNA is filed under the name uncultured bacterium. RNAcentral describes it as "partial 16S ribosomal RNA". It matches the Rfam family "Bacterial small subunit ribosomal RNA", at positions 524 to 776 of the family's 1533-position model. The record is from RNAcentral.